AGUUAAUAAGCUUUUAGAAGCCAAUGUUUUGAAAACAUUAAAAAAAAGUUUAAAUCUUUUAUUAACUU
This 68-nucleotide transfer RNA is filed under the name Ornebius kanetataki. RNAcentral describes it as "tRNA-Ser". It matches the Rfam family "tRNA". From Rfam's summary of the family: Transfer RNA (tRNA) molecules are approximately 80 nucleotides in length. Lineage: Eukaryota; Metazoa; Arthropoda; Insecta; Orthoptera; Mogoplistidae. The record is from RNAcentral.